This 2101-nucleotide long non-coding RNA is filed under the name Mus pahari (shrew mouse). Its description in RNAcentral is "lncRNA (MGP_PahariEiJ_G0005389.1)". The record is from RNAcentral. Lineage: Eukaryota; Metazoa; Chordata; Mammalia; Rodentia; Muridae.
GUGCUGAGGCUUGCGGGUGGCUCUUUCACCCUUGGGAGGUGCCGUGGAGUGUGUGACCCACCCCCCAAUGCACAGCCUAGAACCCUAAUCUGAGUGUGACCGCGUUUAUAACUCAAGCAUGCAGAAGGUGAUCAGGUCAUGAGGGUGAAGCCUCAAUCAACAAUAUUAGUGAUGAUGUCAGAAGAAUUAGUGAUGCCAGAAUGGAUGCCCUUUCCCAAACCAGACUUUGCCUGCACCCUGACCCCAAGCCUGUAGCUUGCAGAACUUCGGGGAAUGAAGGGUUGUUGUUUUAGCUACCCAGUGGACAGUGACUCAGAUGGGAGGGGAACAAUGGAGGAAGAUGGAGACAGGGAGAAGAAAGGUGGUUUUAUGUUUGUUUGCUGGGUUGGGAAGUGAACCCACAGCCUCCCACAUCCAAAACAAAUGUUCUUUCACUGAGCUAAAUCCCCAGCGGGAUGUGUGUUGGUGAGAAGAGGCUCCAUCUCUGCAGGUCGAAGGAAGUCUUCCGUUAUUAUGGACCAAGACAUAGUUACAGGAAGAGGCGGGGGGCGGGAUGGUGUGGAGAGGAAACAGAAAGGUUUGGGGCAAGUUGGAAAGGUAUGUCCAACUUGGGGGUAUGCAUAGGACAGUGCGGGAGGCUGAUGACGAAGAUCCCCGUGGGGCUAGGGCCUAAUUGUGAAACUCACACUGCCCCCAAACUUGUAAUCCUCCUGCCUCAGCUUCCUGGGUGCUGGGGAUAAAACCCAGUAAGGCUAGCACUCCAGCCACAUUCCCAGCAUCCUAUAUGUGGUCUGGAUCUUUCGCUUAACUAAAUUGUAGCUAGGUCAAGUUUAAAAUAGCUUUCAGGUUCCAAGACACCAUUUAGAACCUUUUAGAAAUGAAAAUUCACAGUGCUGGAGAGGCGACUCGGUGGUUAGGAACACACGGUGCUCUGGCAGCAAACCUGAGGUUAGAGCGUGUCUCGGCUUCAGAGGCUGAGAGUAAGCUUCAACUGAAGAAGAAAGGCCCCAGCAACCCAGCAGAGUCGCGGCCGGCCGGCAGGCCGGGGAAGCCCCUAUUGAGGAUGCUCGGGCUGCAGAGGCGGUUCACAGGAGAUCGCAAUCAUUGGCGCAAGCCCUGGAAACUCAUCAACAGUGAGAACAGGAACCUGAGCUGAAGGAUUUGUGACAACGUGGGCAGAACAGGACAGAGAGAAUCUGGGUGGACAUAUUUCAUAAGAAACUAUUAAGCAAGAGGUGUCUGACUAGGCUGGCAACCCAGCCCCAGAAACAGAACAGACCUGGCGACCGACUGUCCUAGGAGGCAAGCUGUAGGCAGGGAGUCAGCUGGAUCCAAAUCGGGAACAGAGCGGGGGGGGCGGCGAGCAGAGACCGGAAGACCCCCACGGUCCACGGGACACUUUGUCGUCAAGUCUUAGAGUUAACUGAUCUAGUUCAUUACAUUUACUUCUGACUGGAGGCAAGGAACAGCUUUGCUGAUGGUUGCAAGAGGGCAAGAAGAAAAUAAUUGACCAAUAAUUCACCUAUGUGAGCCAAGCAGGCACUCGUGGCAUCCUUCCACUGCGAGGAACAACACAAGCUGAAAGUUUUCACUGAUGCCCCCAGGAAACACACGGGAACCCCUGGCUUGCGCUAUUGAAAUCCUGAUUAAUGCUUUUGUGAGUGAAAAGACUGGGAAAACAGCUAUCACGGGAGGCAGAGAUGCUUGCAGGGAAUAGGAACAGGUAGGGACUUUGGAGCUGGGGCUACCAGGUACAGAUGAAGAACCACCAUGGUGGAUUCGAACCUUCCCGUGUUCGCGCCAGCUCUUCCCGGGUCUUUCCUGAGGUUUCUUUUCCUGUUAAUUCACACCUAGUUCAGAGCAAACAGUUAAGGGUUGAGGCAGAGGCAUGCUCACUCUUUAUAGGCUUGGGGGAGCAACCUGCUCUGUGCAUGAAUCAUUCGUUCAGGGCAGAUAUUUUCAAACCUCUGCUGAGCAUCGGAACCUGAAAUAGAAAAACACCUGCAGUAGCUGCUGCUUCUCCACAUGCCUUACACACCACAGAACGCCAUAGGCCCUCUGCACCUGAGUUUCAAUUAGUGGGCUGAAUAGAUGACCUUUG